Amborella trichopoda is the source of this 910-nucleotide long non-coding RNA. RefSeq lists it as uncharacterized. NCBI's taxonomy places the organism in Eukaryota, Viridiplantae, Streptophyta, Magnoliopsida, Amborellales, Amborellaceae. The record is from RefSeq and is a predicted model, not a curated record.
UAUUCAAGAUUAGAUAAAAGAGCUUCUUGAGGCUGAUAUCUUUGCUUUGUAUGUGUUUUGAUCCCAUUGAGGGGUAUUCCUGUGCUUCCUCUCUGCAAGUGCUUUUCCAAUUUUCUCAUUUUCAUUAAUUAUGAGAUCAAGGACCGGUUGAGAUCUAAGGAGGUGCAGCACUUACUAAGAAUACAGCACAGAAGCAGAUAAGCUGGUGAAAGGAGAGGCUGGAACAAUUUUGCAGUUAGGUUCCAGUGAUAAUGGUGGGACCUCUGUCAGGUGGAUGCUACUCUGGAGGUCCCGAGGACUCUAGAUUGCUAGCAAUGCAUGGGGAACAUUCAUCUUUUCAGAUUUGGCAAGGGAAGGACAAAAUCAAAAUUAAUGGGAAGACUAAACAACUAAAUGGUUGGGAACCGACAGAAGAGCAAAAGGAUAUAGUGGCGGUGUGAUUGGGUCUUCUUUAUCACAUCAGGCCGGGCCCAAUAGACCAUCCCCUGGUUGUUGUGAAUGCAAAGAGAUGGCGCAUUGAAACCAAUUCUCUUCACUUUAUUGAAGAAAUUUGAGAGAUGGCCCCAACAUUAUUUGAUGUUCACCAGAUCAUGAGGUAAUCGGUUGAUGGUGAACCCGUCACAUGCUAGCCAAUUAGUAGUUAUAAUAACUACAUUCUCAGCCAGUUGAAUGAAGUUGCCCCUGAGCUUAAUUUCAUCACCAUCAAGCAUACAUGGCUAAAAACAAAUUUCAGCAAACUACCACCAAAUGCUAGCUCGCAACUAGUUGGAUGGCACACACAUGCCUACUUGACAUUUCUCAUCAGUUUUAUUAUCUUCUCUGAUUCCUGGUAAAUUGUGCCAAUAAAGUAUUUAUAGUUUAAGGAUUUUGAUCGAGGUGGUAGAUAUGCAUAUGGUGCUGUUGCAAUCAC